This 201-nucleotide unclassified non-coding RNA is filed under the name Hevea brasiliensis (rubber tree). The record is from RNAcentral. Lineage: Eukaryota; Viridiplantae; Streptophyta; Magnoliopsida; Malpighiales; Euphorbiaceae.
UUCAAACCUAAAAGAUAUAUAUUCCAUACCCAAUGUACAUGACUUGCCUCCCCUCAAGAAACAGCCUACAAACACAUAAAGUAGAGUUACACCUUCAAACUGUUAAUAAGGUUACUUGGGUGAACACUUAAGUUUAACUACCAAUAACAAUCUAUCUAUCUACAAAAUUUCUUAUGGUAACUAACAGGAAAUACUAUGUUG